This 253-nucleotide ribosomal RNA is filed under the name uncultured bacterium. RNAcentral's name for it is "partial 16S ribosomal RNA". It matches the Rfam family "Bacterial small subunit ribosomal RNA", at positions 524 to 776 of the family's 1533-position model. The record is from RNAcentral.
UACGUAGGGGGCGAGCGUUAAUCGGAAUUACUGGGCGUAAAGCGUGCGCAGGCGGGCUUUUAAGCCAGACGUGAAAUCCCCGGGCUUAACCUGGGAAUGGCGUUUGGGACUGGAAGUCUGGAGUGCGGCAGAGGAGACUGGAAUUCCUGGUGUAGCAGUGAAAUGCGUAGAUAUCAGGAGGAAUACCGAUGGCGAAGGCAGGUCUCUGGGCUGACACUGACGCUCAUGCACGAAAGCGUGGGGAGCAAACAGG